GGGCCGUUAGCUCAGUCGGUAGAGCACCUGACUUUUAAUCAGGGUGUCACAGGUUCGAAUCCUGUACGGCCCA
RNAcentral lists this transfer RNA (73 nucleotides) under Candidatus Stramentimicrobium fermentans. Its description in RNAcentral is "tRNA-Lys". It matches the Rfam family "tRNA". Rfam says of the family: Transfer RNA (tRNA) molecules are approximately 80 nucleotides in length. Lineage: Bacteria; Pseudomonadati; Atribacterota; Candidatus Phoenicimicrobiia; Candidatus Pheonicimicrobiales; Candidatus Stramentimicrobiaceae. The record is from RNAcentral.